GUUUGUGACAGGACUCUCGGAGAAGAUAGAAUGCGUGGUACCUGGAGGAGGUCGCCCGUCGUUUAUGUUGAAAGCUGUUGCAAAUAUACCAAAGGGAAACGCCCCAAUGCCGAAUGACAUUUGGAAGCCACCGUCCCCAAACCCAAAGCCCUGGAAUCCCUGCAGAGAACAAAGCAACAGAAGAGAAAAAAGAUUGUUCUGAAAACGACUGAAUUACUGACAUUUAUUACAUCCAAGAACCAAGAGUGGCAACAGAUGAAUGGUUAAGAAACAAAGAACCCAUUUUCAAGUAGUCUUCCUAAAUAAAAAAAGUCUGGUCGAGUGUGAAGGCGACGUGGAAGUGAAGAUAUGUGUUUAGGGAUCCAGCACAAAUCCCACUGAGUUGCAUAAAGAAUAAGCGUGGCUGAAAGAGCUGGUGAAACUGGACCUCCGACAAGCAGACGGCACACUGGGACCUCAAAGCUUCCUGACAACUGAGAACAGAGGAGGUCCACGAAAGAAGUAAGUGCAGGAAACUGGUAAGGUCUAUGUACUGUGUAUAAAUACUGUGUAUAAAUCUCACUAACAGGCAAUAAGAAAGAAAUUUACUCAAAUACUUUAAAAACUAAAUCUAUAAAUCUAGUGAGAGAAACUGCACGCCAGGAAAAUACAAGCCCAAUAGCUACUGUAAAAGAUCACGUUUCUGAACUCAGCAAAUGAGAGAUUACACGUUUGCCAAAGUACACUGAGCUGACAGUAAAAGUACAAGAGAAACACUUCAAGACAAACUGGGAGAACACCAUGUGAACAAUAAUUCAACGUGAGAAAGACAGAGGGAAUAUAAACUAGACGCUAAUGUCAUCUGUAUUAAACAGUUGUAGAAUAUGCUUACAGCACUACAACAUUAGGAUGUUUGAAGCAUUUACUUUCUAAUCUUCUUUCAUGAGCAAUGAGAAAAAAUUCUGGCAAGGAUAUAGGACUCUGGCUAGUUUAUUAAUAAAACCCAAAGUUUA
Molecule: long non-coding RNA, 992 nt
Organism: Harpia harpyja (harpy eagle)
Lineage: Eukaryota; Metazoa; Chordata; Aves; Accipitriformes; Accipitridae
Exons: 2
Source: RefSeq, a predicted model, not a curated record